GGCUUAAAGUUUGAUCAUGGCUCAGGAUAAACGCUGGCGGCGCACAUAAGACAUGCAAGUCGAACGGACUUAACUCGAAGUUUACUUUGAGAGCGGUUAGUGGCGGACUGGUGAGUAACACGUAAGCAACCUGCCUAUCAGGGGGGAAUAACAGUGAGAAAUCAUUGCUAAUACCGCAUAUGCUUACACUAUCGCAUGAUAGAGUAAGGAAAGGAGCAAUCUGCUGAUAGAUGGGCUUGCGUCUGAUUAGCUAGUUGGUGAGGUAACGGCUUACCAAGGCGACGAUCAGUAGCCGGACUGAGAGGUUGAACGGCCACAUUGGGACUGAGAUACGGCCCAGACUCCUACGGGAGGCAGCAGUCGGGAAUAUUGCGCAAUGGAGGAAACUCUGACGCAGUGACGCCGCGUAUAGGAAGAAGGUUUUCGGAUUGUAAACUAUUGUCGUUAGGGAAGAUACAAGACAGUACCUAAGGAGGAAGCACCGGCUAACUAUGUGCCAGCAGCCGCGGUAAUACAUAGGGAAGCC
This 526-nucleotide ribosomal RNA is filed under the name uncultured organism. Its description in RNAcentral is "bacterial SSU rRNA". It matches the Rfam family "Bacterial small subunit ribosomal RNA", at positions 1 to 536 of the family's 1533-position model. The record is from RNAcentral.